CGACGGGUGAGUAACGCGUAUCCAACCUUCCCUGUAGUAGAGAAUAGCCCGGCGAAAGUCGGAUUAAUGCUCUAUGUUGUAUUUCGAUGACAUCUGAAGAAUACCAAAGGUUUACCGCUAUAGGAUGGGGAUGCGUCUGAUUAGGUUGUUGGCGGGGUAACGGCCCACCAAGCCCACGAUCAGUAGGGGUUCUGAGAGGAACGGUCCCCCACAUUGGAACUGAGACACGGUCCAAACUCCUACGGGAGGCAGCAGUGAGGAAUAUUGGUCAAUGGACGGAAGUCUGAACCAGCCAAGUAGCCGUGCAGGAUGACCGGCCCUAGUGGGUUAGUAAACUGUCUUUUAUAUAGGGAUAAGUCGGGGACGUGUCCCCGUUUGUAGGUACUAUAUGAAUAAGGACCGGCUAAUUCCGUGCCAGCAGCAGC
Molecule: ribosomal RNA, 425 nt
Filed under: uncultured bacterium
Lineage: Bacteria
Description: bacterial SSU rRNA
Rfam family: Bacterial small subunit ribosomal RNA
Source: RNAcentral